GAUGAACGCUAGCGGCAGGCUUAACACAUGCAAGUCGAGGGGCAGCGCGAUGUAGCAAUACAUUGGCGGCGACCGGCGCACGGGUGCGUAACACGUAUGGAACUUACCCUUUACUGGGAGAUAGCCCGGAGAAAUCCGGAUUAAUAUCCCAUAAUAAACGAAGUGGCAUCAUUUUGUUUUGAAAGCUCCGGCGGUAAAGGAUGGCCAUGCGCACGAUUAGCUAGUAGGUGAGGUAACGGCUCACCUAGGCUACGAUCGUUAGGGGGCCUGAGAGGGUUAUCCCCCACACUGGUACUGAGACACGGACCAGACUCCUACGGGAGGCAGCAGUGAGGAAUAUUGCGCAAUGGAGGCAACUCUGACGCAGCCAUGCCGCGUGCAGGAAGAAGGCGCUACGCGUUGUAAACUGCUUUUAACCGGGAAGAAACCCUCCGACGUGUCGGAGGUUGACGGUACCGGAGGAAUAAGCACCGGCUAACUACGUGCCAGCAGCCGCGGUAAAGUG
RNAcentral lists this ribosomal RNA (505 nucleotides) under uncultured bacterium. RNAcentral describes it as "bacterial SSU rRNA". It matches the Rfam family "Bacterial small subunit ribosomal RNA", at positions 28 to 527 of the family's 1533-position model. The record is from RNAcentral.